UGGGGAAUAUUGGACAAUGGGCGAAAGCCUGAUCCGGCCAUGCCGCGUGGUUGAAGAAGGUCUUCGGAUUGUAAAGCACUUAAAGUGGGGGGGAAGGGCAGUAAGCGAAUACCUUGCUGUUUUGACGUUACCGACAGAAUAAGCACCGGCUAACUCUGUGCCAGCAGCCGCGGUAAUACAGAGGGUGCAAGCGUUAAUCGGAAUUACUGGGCGUAAAGCGCGCGUAGGUGGUUCGUUAAGUUGAAUGUGAAAGCCCCGGGCUCAACCUGGGAACUGCAUCCAAAACUGGCGAGCUAGAGUAGGGCAGAGGGUGGUGGAAUUUCCUGUGUAGCGGUGAAAUGCGUAGAUAUAGGAAGGAACACCAGUGGCGAAGGCGACCACCUGGGCUCAUACUGACACUGAGGUGCGAAAGCGUGGGGAGCAAACAGG
Molecule: ribosomal RNA, 429 nt
Filed under: Pseudomonadota bacterium
Lineage: Bacteria; Pseudomonadati; Pseudomonadota
Description: Proteobacteria bacterium partial 16S ribosomal RNA
Rfam family: Bacterial small subunit ribosomal RNA
Source: RNAcentral